GCCUGCCCAGUGACCAUGUGUUCAACGGCCGCGGUAUUCUGACCGCGCGAAGGUAGCGUAAUCACUUGUCUUCUAAAUAAAGACUAGUAUGAACGGCCACACGAAGACUUAACUGUCUCCCCUGUCCAAUCAGUGAAACUGAUCUCCUUGUGCAGAAGCGAGGAUGAACCCAUAAGACGAGAAGACCCUAUGGAGCUUUAAACUUAAUAUUAACUAUUUCUAAAUCUCCUCUAAGGAAUUAACAAAUAACCCUUUUCAACUUAAUAUUAGUUUUAGGUUGGGGCGACCAUGGAGAAAAAAAUAUCCUCCCUGAUGACUUUUAAACCAAGAGCUACAGCUCUAAGUAUUAAGAUACUUAACUUCCAUUGACCCAUUUUAUGAUCAACGAACCAAGUUACCCUAGGGAUAACAGCGCAAUCCAUUUCAAGAGUCCUUAUCGACAAAUGGGUUUACGACCUCGAUGUUGGAUCAGGGCAUCCCAGUGGUGCAACCGCUACUAAUGGUUCGUUUGUUCAACGAUUAAAGCCCU
RNAcentral lists this ribosomal RNA (529 nucleotides) under Megophrys sp. 14 JMC-2016. RNAcentral's name for it is "partial 16S ribosomal RNA". It matches the Rfam family "Bacterial large subunit ribosomal RNA", at positions 1857 to 2597 of the family's 2925-position model. Lineage: Eukaryota; Metazoa; Chordata; Amphibia; Anura; Megophryidae. The record is from RNAcentral.